UUGCUCGGUAAUUUUCUCUCGUUAGUUUUUGAUUUAGGACAUUUAUUUUUGUGUGGCGACUGGCGCAUUGCGCAUGCGCUGUAAUAAAUGAAUUGCACGUGGGUAAACGAAUUUGAAUUGACAACGUUUGAUUAGUAUGCACAGUUUUGGGAUACAGUUUUAGCAAAAAGGGAAAAAAAACCUGACAAAGACGUCUAACAACAAGAAACUCUACAAGAUUUCAUGGAUAUACACUCAAGUCAUUUCUGUCUGCCUCACAUGGAGAUUAUCAUAAACAUGACAGAAACUUGAUUCUGCUCUUCACUUAUUUCCCCGGAGAGAAAAUAAAAUCACAUUAACAUCCACAGGUAUUGAUCCAGACGUGAUAUAUAGGACAAUCCUGAAGUUUUGUCGUCAUGGCUGAGCAUUUUAAUGCUGGACCUGGAACCAAUUAUCUGGAGAUGUGUCUUGGGUCCCAAAAUAUCAUUGUCAGGCUGCCACACACCAAGAGAUAAAAGAGAAUAAAUGGAGUCAAAUCCCAAAGUGACAUGACAGACUGCCUUCUAUUCCCUAUCUCCUCCAAAAAGAAACUGAUGUAAGGCUGCUGCUAUACUGUAAAUAUCACAUAUUUCACAUUUCUCGAGAACCAUAUAAUGUCCACAGAAAAUAAAUUCAACUCAUCCCUGUUUUU
Pimephales promelas (fathead minnow) is the source of this 670-nucleotide long non-coding RNA. RefSeq lists it as uncharacterized. NCBI's taxonomy places the organism in Eukaryota, Metazoa, Chordata, Actinopteri, Cypriniformes, Leuciscidae. The record is from RefSeq and is a predicted model, not a curated record.